CGGGGGGCGCGGCCGCCAUGUUGUCCCCGGCGUGAGGGAGCGGGAGCGGCGCCCGCCGCCCCCGGGUUAAUAAUAGAGCGGUAAAAGCUCCUUUGUGGCGGUAAUUGGCGCACGUAGCCCUGGCGCUGCCGCGUGCGAGAGCUGGCGUCAUUCCCACAGAGGCGAGGGAUGCCUCGGCUCGCCGCGGUGCUCCGGAGGGCGGGAUGGGGAUCCCUGGGAUGCGGUGCCUCCGCCCGCGGCGGCCGGGCUCGGGGCGCCGCCGCCGGAGCCUGCCCUGAGUAAACGCAAGGUCGGUCGUGUCUCGGCCGCCACCCCGCAGACCGUGUGUGUUCCUGUGCCGUGCUCAAGGCGAUGUUUUGCUGCAGAUGCUGCUUGCGGCCGGGUGGUGUUUGAGGGAAGAAUUGGAGCACCUGGGUCCCGCUUCAAGCCCCUGUAUGUCCACAGGCCUCUCCAGAGGAUGAAGAAGAAGUCUUUGGUCCAACUGAAAGUUCAAAACAAAGGAGAAUCUCUGUCUCUCUUCUUCUUUCCAGCUGUACCUUGGUAAUGAAAAGAA
Zonotrichia albicollis (white-throated sparrow) is the source of this 553-nucleotide long non-coding RNA. Lineage: Eukaryota; Metazoa; Chordata; Aves; Passeriformes; Passerellidae. The record is from Ensembl.